RNAcentral lists this ribosomal RNA (253 nucleotides) under uncultured bacterium. Its description in RNAcentral is "partial 16S ribosomal RNA". It matches the Rfam family "Bacterial small subunit ribosomal RNA", at positions 524 to 776 of the family's 1533-position model. The record is from RNAcentral.
UACGUAGGGUGCAAGCGUUGUCCGGAAUUAUUGGGCGUAAAGAGCUCGUAGGCGGUUUGUCGCGUCUGCUGUGAAAACGCGGGGCUCAACUCCGCGCCUGCAGUGGGUACGGGCAGACUAGAGUGAUGUAGGGGAGACUGGAAUUCCUGGUGUAGCGGUGAAAUGCGCAGAUAUCAGGAGGAACACCGGUGGCGAAGGCGGGUCUCUGGGCCGUAACUGACGCUGAGGAGCGAAAGCGUGGGGAGCGAACAGG